AACGACGCUGGCGGCAGGCCUAACACAUGCAAGUCGAACGAAGUCUUCGGACUUAGUGGCGGACGGGUGAGUAACACGUGGGAACCUACCCUAUCGGUACGGAAUAACAGAGGGAAACUUCUGCUAAUACCGUAUACGCCCUUUGGGGGAAAGUUUUCGCCGAUAGGUGGGCCCGCGUUCGAUUAGAUUGUUGGUGGGGUAACGGCCUACCAAGUCUACGAUCGAUAGCUGGUCUGAGAGG
Molecule: ribosomal RNA, 241 nt
Filed under: uncultured Alphaproteobacteria bacterium
Lineage: Bacteria; Pseudomonadati; Pseudomonadota; Alphaproteobacteria
Description: partial 16S ribosomal RNA
Rfam family: Bacterial small subunit ribosomal RNA
Source: RNAcentral